This is a long non-coding RNA of Hemicordylus capensis (graceful crag lizard), 568 nucleotides long. RefSeq lists it as uncharacterized. Lineage: Eukaryota; Metazoa; Chordata; Lepidosauria; Squamata; Cordylidae. The record is from RefSeq and is a predicted model, not a curated record. The transcript is spliced from 4 exons.
GAGAUUUGUCUCAAAUGACAAAUUAAGAGCUGUUAAACAUUCAAAAGAGGACCCAGAGGUAAACUUCAUGAAGAAAGAGGCAUACCAUAGACUUAGAAGCUAGAAUCCAAAGCAAGGGAUGACGACAGAGAGACAAAAAUUAUAUCUAGUGUAUUGUGUGGCAGAUGUUUGUCUGUUUGUAUCAUCAUCAUCAUCAUCAUCAUCAUCAAAUAGAAAAUGUUCCUCCUAAAAAAAUAUCUUUGAAGAUGCUGAAGAUAUCUUGAUAGAAAUACACACAGUCUUUAUUAUUAUUACCACCACCACCUCAUACAGAAAAUCAAGACAAGAUUCCUCAGCUGCAUCCAAGAUCACGAAAGAAGACCAAAAGAACCAGUACAGCAAACCUUGUUUAAACCUGCUGCCAUCCUGAAACAAGAUACUGAGCCGGGUCUCACGAUCAGUGAGAUCCGGUUUGUAAAGAAAAACACAAGAAUUUGAACCCAGGAAACACCUGACAUGGAAUAAGCUACAGAGAACUAUAUAAUAUCUCCAAUACAUUAGCACACCAUUUUAUAAGUUUCUAGUACAU